RNAcentral lists this transfer RNA (76 nucleotides) under compost metagenome. Its description in RNAcentral is "tRNA-Ile". It matches the Rfam family "tRNA". From Rfam's summary of the family: Transfer RNA (tRNA) molecules are approximately 80 nucleotides in length. Their secondary structure includes four short double-helical elements and three loops (D, anti-codon, and T loops). The record is from RNAcentral.
GCAUUUAUAGCUCAGAUGGUAGAGCGACCUCUUGAUAAGGGGUAGGCCGCAAGUUCGAGUCUUGCUGAAUGCACCA